This is a long non-coding RNA of Toxotes jaculatrix (banded archerfish), 1800 nucleotides long. RefSeq lists it as uncharacterized. The transcript has 3 exons. NCBI's taxonomy places the organism in Eukaryota, Metazoa, Chordata, Actinopteri, Toxotidae. The record is from RefSeq and is a predicted model, not a curated record.
CACACAGUGGAUGAGACAGUCCAGAAAGUUUCACUUGUCGGAGCUGAAGCUGUCCUCGCUGAGAGGAGACAGUUAACUUAGCCGGUUCAAGUUACGUUAGAGUGUGCUCGUCCUGCUGUCAGUCAGGGGAGCCUCUGUGAUGUGCUGGUCUGGUUAGCUUGAGCACACGACUUCAUCCUGCACCAUCAUCAUCAUCGUCAGCGUCUUCACAGCUGGACAUGUUUGAGAGGGAAACGUUAUCUGUGAGUCUACAGCCAGGAUUCAUGUGGUUCUGUUGGAGGGUGUAUGAACCCUGCAGCUUUACUGUGACUAUAAUGCUGUGUACAGUCACCAAGGCUAACAUAAAUACCUCAGAGACAACAACUGCAGUUAAACUAAAGUUAAACCAACUGACUUCUUUUGUAUUCCACAGUAUACAAUACAGUUAAUUCAUCAAUAAUUUAACCCUCUCAAAUGAAAAAUUCUUAUCUUGAAUAUCUUAGGUUUAUAUUCUACAGCAUCUAUAUUUUAGAAUUAUUCUACAUCUGAUUUACCUAAGUUAAAAUCCAACAGAAUCUUUCUCCUGUGAUUUAUUUAUUUAUUUAUUUUCUAAUCCAGUUUUUGACCAUGUCCCGCGGCUUUCUCCAGUGAAUGGAGCUCUGGUGUCAUCACUUGACAUAAGCUGAUGUUGUGCCAUAUUUAAGACACGUGAUGACGCCUGGACAACUUCAUUUUGGUGAAGAGGGCUGUGAGAUAUGCCUGAGAAAUUCAGAGAAAAAAAAACUGUAUAAACAGUUAUUUGUUCUCAUUGUCCUCAUUUUUGUGUUGCUUCUUAAGUAAAGGAUGAGAGCAGUUAUUCAACCACUCAUUAACCACUCACUCAUCUAUUAGAUGUACUCUUAUAUAAUGAGAUGUACUGGAGGGUAAAUAUACUCUGUGAUAUUUAAUUUCAUUUGCAGAGUUUAGAAUUAGUGUCAAUCCACCCUGUGCAUCAGAUCUUUAUGGCCACAUGUUUUGCUACAGUGCCACACAGUUACUGAAAAUUGAUUUCUGUUUUAAAGGCGAGAAAGCUUAUCGAUGACUGUGCUGAUGUUUAGUUACCAUGACAUCACCUGGGUGUGAUCUAUUAGCAUUAAUCGUACAGCAGUUUCUUUUAAUGAAUGGACAGUGUGUGUGUGUGUGUGUGUGUGUUGAGUUUACAUUACACAUACACUACACAGUUAACCCGGUGCGUCCAGCCUGCUGACAACCCCACAGUGUGAAGCAGCGAAUGAUUAAAUAAUGAAGAGACCUUAAUGCUUCCUCUGGCACGACUCGCCUUCGUUAAUAGACGAUCACUCACAGCGGACAGUAACUGUCCUCUCUGUCUGCUUAAAGAGCGCACACAUUAAGAACAGGCAAACACCUCGGGACAUAAAUAUUCACACUAUUCAAAUCAACAGGCCUGAGAGAAUAUCGUCAGAGCAGUCAGUGAAGGUGAAAUAUAGUCUCUGCUCAUUUCAGACGCUCUUUAAUGGACUUUUCAUUCGCCCCGGCUCUUUGUGCUGACAAAAAGGAAAACACAUCUUCUUAAUUGAAAUGCUCGUUUCCUAACUAUUUUGUCCUGUGCAUUUGUUACCCAGAUGCAUUCACUGUCAAUAUUUCACAGCCGCACUGAUCACAUGCAGGAGGUUGCCCUGUGUGUGCGACUCUUUGGUUUAUGAUAAAUACACAUCUGUUUUUAAAUAAAGAUUUUCUGCUUCAAAAUAAAAUGGAAAGAAAUCAGGUUAUUCUGUGCUGUUUGCUGGAAUGUCUACUGGCAGGAAAAAUGAAUGGUGCACC